Molecule: ribosomal RNA, 254 nt
Filed under: uncultured bacterium
Lineage: Bacteria
Description: partial 16S ribosomal RNA
Rfam family: Bacterial small subunit ribosomal RNA
Source: RNAcentral
UACGUAGGGUGCGAGCGUUGUCCGGAAUUAUUGGGCGUAAAGAGCUCGUAGGCGGUGUGUCACGUCGGCCGUGAAAACCUGCAGCUUAACUGUGGGCGUGCGGUCGAUACGGGCAUCACUGGAGUUCGGCAGGGGAGACUGGAAUUCCUGGUGUAGCGGUGAAAUGCGCAGAUAUCAGGAGGAACACCGGUGGCGAAGGCGGGUCUCUGGACCGAUACUGACGCUGAGGAGCGAAAGCGUGGGGAGCGAACAGG